AGAGAAGAUGUGUUUGCAAAAACUUGUCUGUUCUUGUUUGACUAACCAUGUCAUUUUGCCUUCCAGAUGGAAAUGUAGUUGGAUGGGGACUUCUGGUGGGCACCCCCUUCUUAUGCUUUGUAGACCCACUGUGUCAUGUUCCCUGGAACCUCGUCCAGCUGCUGGGAACAGUUUUUUGAGAAAGUCAAUGGGAACUGCGUGUCAAGAAAAGAAAGCAGUUGGAUAGAGGAUAGAUAAUAAGCAUUAACUCCACGUUUAAUUCGAUGUGAAAACUGCCCUUUUUACCAAUUCAUGUCUCCAUCAGCAGAAGCUAGGGCAUUUCGAGUUGAGUUGCAUUAUUAAGUUUAUAAUGUUCACCUAACCUCAAACCUUUGAAACCUUUGCUCAACAGUCCAAAGAGAUUUUUAGUUAAAUUAAAAAUUCUACCUAACUCAACGGUAUUGUACGUUUUUGAGCAGAAUAUAUACAGAAGCAGUUGGAUGACCUUUCUAGUUUUUUCCCCCCAGAAUUUAUUCUGCUGAAGUGAUAUUAGUAAGCCUCACUAGAACACGACAAUUCUUUGCAGAAUGUCACAUUAUUAUUAUUAUAUAGUUGGCAUUUGAACACAUAUAGCUGGCGUUUAAAUUUUCUUAGAAAAUUUAAAGAGAACUCAUCUUUUCUUCUUUGGCACUGGCAACUUUGAACCUAUUCUCUGCAAGCUCCGGAACUUCCAGAAGAAAAAGCACAAAACCACGUGGUGCAGGAGAAGAAGGGACACCCAGCCGUUAACAUCAAAGGCCAACCAAAAUUUGUGAGACAUGUUUCGUCA
Molecule: long non-coding RNA, 808 nt
Filed under: Felis catus (domestic cat)
Lineage: Eukaryota; Metazoa; Chordata; Mammalia; Carnivora; Felidae
Description: lncRNA (ENSFCAG00000053739.1)
Source: RNAcentral